This is a non-coding RNA of Mycena capillaripes, 96 nucleotides long. The record is from the annotation of a GenBank genome assembly. NCBI's taxonomy places the organism in Eukaryota, Fungi, Basidiomycota, Agaricomycetes, Agaricales, Mycenaceae.
GGCUACAUGGCAGAAUGGUUAAAACCUUUGGUUAAUGUCCUGCAAAUGGCUCUUCCCUUUAUCCGAAGUAUGUAGGUUCGAAUCCUACUGUAGCCA